UUUUAUACAUUUGACACGUCAUGACAAGCGUCAGCAUGGUACACUUGGCCUCAUUUUAUACAAUCCAUAACCAUCCCCAAAUUCUCAUCUAACGGUGUACAUUUCAUCUUCCAUCUCCACUUAGGGUUUCUUUUAUGGCACGCAAUUUCAUAUAUAAACCUUGCAGUUUCUUUCUUUGUCAAGUCUAGUGCAGUGCAGUUCUCCUUCCCUCCUAAGGAAAGGAAAAAAAAAAAAAAAAAAAAAAAAN
RNAcentral lists this long non-coding RNA (247 nucleotides) under Olea europaea (common olive). RNAcentral describes it as "long non-coding RNA (OEUR_LNC007013)". Lineage: Eukaryota; Viridiplantae; Streptophyta; Magnoliopsida; Lamiales; Oleaceae. The record is from RNAcentral.